This 522-nucleotide ribosomal RNA is filed under the name uncultured bacterium. RNAcentral describes it as "bacterial SSU rRNA". It matches the Rfam family "Archaeal small subunit ribosomal RNA", at positions 345 to 866 of the family's 1478-position model. The record is from RNAcentral.
AACCUCCGCAAUGUGAGAAAUCGCGACGGGGGGAUCCCAAGUGCCAUUCUUAACGGGAUGGCUUUUCAUUAGUGUAAAGAGCUUUUGGAAUAAGGGCUGGGCAAGACCGGUGCCAGCCGCCGCGGUAACACCGGCAGCUCUAGUGGUAGCAGUUUUUAUUGGGCCUAAAGCGUCCGUAGCCGGUUUAAUAAGUCUCUGGUGAAAUCCUGUAGCUUAACUGUGGGAAUUGCUGGAGAUACUAUUAGACUUGAGACCGGGAGAGGUUAGAGGUACUCCCAGGGUAGAGGUGAAAUUCUGUAAUCCUGGGAGGACCGCCUGUUGCGAAGGCGUCUAACUGGAACGGUUCUGACGGUGAGGGACGAAAGUUAGGGGCGCGAACCGGAUUUAGAUACCCGGGUAGUCCUAACUGUAAACGAUGCGGACUUGGUGUUGGGGUGGCUUUGAGCUGCUCCAGUGCCGAAGGGAAGCUGUUAAGUCCGCCGCCUGGGAAGUACGGUCGCAAGACUGAAACUUAAAGGAAUU